RNAcentral lists this long non-coding RNA (1721 nucleotides) under Apis dorsata (giant honeybee). Its description in RNAcentral is "uncharacterized LOC116186575". The record is from RNAcentral. Lineage: Eukaryota; Metazoa; Arthropoda; Insecta; Hymenoptera; Apidae.
UUUAUCAUGGAGAUUAAUAAAUUUCUUACUUUCUGGAGAUACGGUAAAUAUAAAUUGGUUUAAAAAAAAAAUUGCUUUUUUCUUUUUAGAGAAAGAAGGAGCAAUUUUGUCUCAAGUGUUAGCUUCUCCGUAAUUGAUCUUGUCUUCUUUUGGCUGAUGUUGCACGUGGGCUGCUGAUUAAGAUUUUUCUAAUACUAGCAUGAAGGACUUCUCCAAAUUGAAGAAAUAAAGUAGAAUUGAAGAAUGAAAUUCGCAAUGAAUUAAGUUUAUAAGUUUAUAAGUAUAUUUCUACAAGAUUAUUUUCAACUAUGUUGCUUAUACGUUCACUUGGGUCUUCUUCUUCCACUCUUCAAAGCUGCAAAAGAUCAAGCAUAGGGCCUAAGGGGAUGGAGUCACCCCUUGAGAGAUAAUCAACCUUGAAUCACUUCUCUCUAAUGCUCUCCCGGGCGCUGUGUGUCCUGGAAAGGAAAUGACCAUCAGUGAAUGAUGGGUUAGGCCCCUGAAUCACCGAGGAUAAUCAUAUCAGGACCCACCACCUUUGGACAAUGACCUUAUAAUGACAUAUUGCCGAUCUAUAAAUUAUAUCUAUAAAUUAGAGAACCUUCCAACUUUCUAAAUGUUUAAAGACAAAUUUCCAAGAGCCUUGUCUGCCUGUCGACCAGACCACAAAGCCAUUCAUCGUUGGGCUUAACAUUAUGGAAACUGAUUUGAAUCAAAACGGAAAAUGUCAGAAAAAUUGGAAACUUUCCUGGAGAUUUCUAAAGAUUUGUUAUUUAAAUUUCUAUGGAAACUUAAAUGGUAGAUAGAUGGUUUGAAAAAAGAAAAUUUUUUUGUUCUCUUUCAACGAAGACAAAUUUUCUAUCAGAUUUGAAAGAAAGAAUCUUUUCUUUAUUAGAGUUCAUUGAAUCAUUCUUAGUAUCGAUUAUAAAUAAGUUACCACUUUUGUUUAAUACAUAAUCUGAAAACUCUUUUAGAUUAUACCAACGCGUAUAUAUAGUUGAAAAUUAGAAUUUUCGUUUCGUACGAUAAAGGCAUGUAAUUACAUUUCUAGAAUUCUUCUCGUGCACAAAAACUUAUAUUCUUUUCUACUAUAAUACACGAAUAAUAUACGAAUUUAUAAUUUACAAUUAUUUAUUGUUCACGGUAAAUUUUUUAUUAUUUUUAAAUUAUUUUUAAAUUCGUUCGAACUUAUCCCUCGAAUAUUACGAAUUAAAUGGUGAUUUUUUUUUUUUCAGGUUCGGAGGAGAGAGACUUUCGUAAUACAUCUAUCACUUUCGUACAAGUUCGAUUAUCGAUCUGAAAGAUUACCACGAUCGUUUUCAUUGGCGAAGACAGAGAACUUUAGGAGGACGGUUGAUUGGUUCAGUGGUGGUAUUAGCUUGAACUUCCACGGCUGAUCGUGCGAUAGGACCCAAUGUGUAUUCAACCGUAGGAAGAUACGUGGAUUUUGAAUUCGAGGGAUGGCAUUCGCUGAAAUAGAUCGUUCGAGGCGGGAUCUCGAUAGUUUCACCUGUUAAACGUAAUUCGUUCCUUCGAUAAGAUUCAAUAAGAUUCCGAUCCUCUUCGAUUCGUCCAUUUAAUUUCACUAUUAUAAGAACACUUGUACUUUGACUUUUAAUCUUUUAAUCACGAGUCGUUGCACGAUUUUACGCGUAAUUUAUCUUUCAUCCUGAUGAAAAGAAUAUUUAUAUCGAUCAGACGAAUCAAUUAUCGCGAAUAGA